This 254-nucleotide ribosomal RNA is filed under the name uncultured bacterium. RNAcentral describes it as "partial 16S ribosomal RNA". It matches the Rfam family "Bacterial small subunit ribosomal RNA", at positions 524 to 776 of the family's 1533-position model. The record is from RNAcentral.
CACGUAGGGGGCAAGCGUUGUCCGGAUUUAUUGGGCGUAAAGAGCUCGUAGGCUGUUCGAUAAGUCGGGUGUGAAACCUCCAGGCUCAACCUGGAGACGCCACCCGAUACUGUCAUGACUAGAGUCCGGUAGGGGAGCGUGGAAUUCCUGGUGUAGCGGUGAAAUGCGCAGAUAUCGGGAGGAACACCAGCGGCGAAGGCGGCGCUCUGGGCCGGUACUGACGCUGAGGAGCGAAAGCGUGGGUAGCAAACAGG